CUUGGUGACUGGACAGUUGUGCAGGUUUCUGCUUCUGGCAGACAUCUGAUUAUCAGUUGCUGUCUACAUUCUGUUCUCAGUAGACUGCGAGCCAUGGAUGUGCUGUGGAUGUGAACCAGUCCAGCUGAUGUGGACACCCCCUGUCUCUGCAACAGAAUCUGCCAACCAGAAGCUCCUGAUGGAAUCUCCAUUGCCUAAAUUCCUUUUGUUUACUUUUGACUAGCAUUUCAACCUUCUGGGGUCCCUAACUUCGUCCAAAGUCAGCAGGAAUUAACAUGAGAAUGAAUACGUCACCCAUUUUCCUUGGUUAAAAUGCUAAGUCAAAAGGAAUUCCCUUACAUGGGCAGUGUCAAUAUCUCUCACUUCCUGAUGGGCACAAGAGAAGGACAGCAAUUCCAUGAUUGGAAUUUCCAAAAAAUAAAAUGGGGGAAUGAAGGCAUCAGCUCCCCAUUUCGGCAACCAUGACAGCCUGCCAUGAAUGCCAUGGCAGACAUGUAUGCUUGCCAUGACCCUGCCUUGGUCAAUAGAGGUAAGGUGCCUGCCUCGUGGCAAGGAACCAAUCAGAAUUUAGCUGGUGGUGCUAUGGUUUACGGCUCUGGGUGUGCCUUACAGACAAGUACACAGCAAUGGUGCCCAGAGCAUGGCAACCACCCUGGGAGGACCUAUGGGCCAUAACAACCAAUUGGCCAAUCAACACAUGGUAAACACUCCAAACCUUGAGGCACAACAAUCCUGAGCAUGUGCGUAUCCCUAGACACUCCCCGUACGCUGCCUUACAAGAUCUCUAUGCAGCCCCAUCCAGCUGUCUUUUGUAGCCAUCUGCCUUGGCGUGUGGAUGAAAGACACGAGUUAACAUGGGUUUAGCUUGCUAAACAACAAUAAAG
This 884-nucleotide long non-coding RNA is filed under the name Cricetulus griseus (Chinese hamster). RNAcentral describes it as "lncRNA (ENSCGRG00015040221.1)". Lineage: Eukaryota; Metazoa; Chordata; Mammalia; Rodentia; Cricetidae. The record is from RNAcentral.